GCCGGCGUGGUGAAAUAGGUAAACACAACGGACUUAAAAUCCGUCGCUUCGGCUUACUGGUUCAAGUCCAGUCGCCGGCACCA
This 83-nucleotide transfer RNA is filed under the name Rickettsiales bacterium. RNAcentral describes it as "tRNA-Leu". It matches the Rfam family "tRNA". Rfam says of the family: Transfer RNA (tRNA) molecules are approximately 80 nucleotides in length. Their secondary structure includes four short double-helical elements and three loops (D, anti-codon, and T loops). Lineage: Bacteria; Pseudomonadati; Pseudomonadota; Alphaproteobacteria; Rickettsiales. The record is from RNAcentral.